GAGAGAGAGAGAGAGAGAGAGAGAGAGAAGAAGAAGAAGACGUCACUCACUUGUGUAUUUGUCUUCGUUGCCAACUCGCGGCGUUUCAAUUUUUUUUUUAAUUUUCCGCUCUUUGUUUUUGUUUUUGGUUUUGCUGCUGCAGCAAAGUGAAGGUGUUGGACAAGAAGAAGAAGAAGAGAAGAGAGAGAAGAGAGAAGAGAGAAGAGAA
This 208-nucleotide non-coding RNA is filed under the name Picochlorum sp. RCC944. Lineage: Eukaryota; Viridiplantae; Chlorophyta; Trebouxiophyceae. The record is from RNAcentral.